RNAcentral lists this ribosomal RNA (252 nucleotides) under uncultured Mollicutes bacterium. RNAcentral describes it as "partial 16S ribosomal RNA". It matches the Rfam family "Bacterial small subunit ribosomal RNA", at positions 524 to 776 of the family's 1533-position model. The record is from RNAcentral. Lineage: Bacteria; Bacillati; Mycoplasmatota; Mollicutes.
UACGUAGGUGGCGAGCGUUAUCCGGAUUUAUUGGGCGUAAAGCGUCCGCAGCCGGUUUAUUAAGUCUAAGAUUAAAGCCCGAAGCUUAACUUCGGUUCGUUUUAGAAACUGGUAGACUCGAGUGUGGUAGAGGCAAGUGGAACUUCUAGUGUAGCGGUAAAAUGCGUAGAUAUUAGAAAGAACACCAGUGGCGAAGGCGGCUCUCUGGUCUGCAACUGACGCUGAGGCUCGAAAGCAUGGGUAGCGAACAGG